RNAcentral lists this small RNA (103 nucleotides) under Salmonella enterica. RNAcentral's name for it is "partial RtT sRNA". It matches the Rfam family "RtT RNA", at positions 1 to 102 of the family's 130-position model. Rfam says of the family: This family represents a bacterial cis-regulatory element known as RtT RNA. The exact function of RtT is unknown although it is thought that it may be involved in changing the cellular response in relation to amino acid starvation. The record is from RNAcentral. Lineage: Bacteria; Pseudomonadati; Pseudomonadota; Gammaproteobacteria; Enterobacterales; Enterobacteriaceae. RNAcentral also lists the same sequence under 4 other names.
AUAUCUCUCUGUACGGGAAGGAUGAGAAGCUUCUACCAGGGUUCGAUUCGAGCGCAGCGAGAAAGCGUUGCCGCAGGCAACGACCCGAAGGGCGAAGCGCGCA